This 68-nucleotide transfer RNA is filed under the name Leptothorax acervorum. RNAcentral's name for it is "tRNA-Trp". The record is from RNAcentral. RNAcentral also lists the same sequence under 2 other names. Lineage: Eukaryota; Metazoa; Arthropoda; Insecta; Hymenoptera; Formicidae.
AAGAUUUUAAGUUAUCUAAACUCUAAACCUUCAAAGUUUAAUAUAUAAAUUAUAAUUUAUAAAUCUUA